GUCUUUACUUUGGCAGGAUAUAUUAUAAAAUUGGAAUGACAGAAAAGAUUAGCAUGGCACCUAUGCAAGGAUGACAUGAAAAUUUAUGAAACAUUCCCUAUUUUU
Molecule: small nuclear RNA, 105 nt
Organism: Cebus imitator (Panamanian white-faced capuchin)
Lineage: Eukaryota; Metazoa; Chordata; Mammalia; Primates; Cebidae
Source: Ensembl